RNAcentral lists this ribosomal RNA (460 nucleotides) under uncultured bacterium. Its description in RNAcentral is "partial 16S ribosomal RNA". It matches the Rfam family "Bacterial small subunit ribosomal RNA", at positions 338 to 795 of the family's 1533-position model. The record is from RNAcentral.
CCUACGGGUGACAGCAGUGAGGAAUAUUGGUCAAUGGACGCAAGUCUGAACCAGCCAUGCCGCGUGCAGGAAGACGGCUCUAUGAGUUGUAAACUGCUUUUGUACGAGGGUAAACCCCGAUACGUGUAUCGGGUUGAAAGUAUCGUACGAAUAAGGAUCGGCUAACUCCGUGCCAGCAGCCGCGGUAAUACGGAGGAUCCGAGCGUUAUCCGGAUUUAUUGGGUUUAAAUGGUGCGUAGGCGGUUCGAUAAGUUAGAGGUGAAAUGUCGGGGCUCAACCCCGGAACUGCCUCUGAUACUGUUGGGCUAGAGAAUAGUUGCGGUAGGCGGAAUGUAUGGUGUAGCGGUGAAAUGCAUAGAGAUCAUACAGAACACCGAUUGCGAAGGCAGCUUACCAAACUAUGUCUGACGUUGAGGCACGAAAGCGUGGGGAGCAAACAGGAUUAGAUACCCGGGUAGUC